UAUAUAGAAAUGAUGGAGAAGGAAAAAGAAUGAUGUUCUUUUUUUGUCUUGCAAAUGUUUUAUGUUUUGAAAUGUGGACACAACAAAAUCUAUUAUUGCAUUAGGUCCAAGUAAACUGGAGUUUGAUGUUAAAUUACACUAAGAUUGGAAAAUAAUGAAAUUUUUUAUUUUUCCAUUGCUGUUCAAUUUAUAGUUUGAAGUGGGUUUUUGACUCCUUGUUUGAUGAAGAAAAAUGCUUGGGGUGUAAGGGACUCUUGAGAUUUCAUCAGAGACUUUUCCUUUUUAAUAAAUCAAACCUUUUGAUGAUUUGGGGUCUUAUCUGCAAAGUUUGGGAAGCAGUCACAAAUGAGACCUGUUAUAAGGUGGUGUUUUGGGGUUUUUUUUCUGGACAGUAUUUACAAGAAUCUGAUUCUUAUUUCCCAGGGAAAUUCUGGGCUCCCACAAAGUAAAUAAUCAUCAUAGAGAAAGAACGAGCAGGAAUAAUUCUUGCUCCAGAAUUGUACAGUAUUCACCUUAGAUUUUUUUUCUCCUUUUGCAAUGAAUUGAAUACAUUUUUCAUGCAUGUUUUCCAGAAAAUAGAAGUGAGUAUUAAUGUUAUUAAAAAGAUUAUUUUUUUUAUUAAAGGCUAUUUAUAUUAUAGAAACUAUCAUUAAUAUAUAUUCUUUAUUUACAUGAUCUGUCCCAUAGUCAUGCAUUGUUUUGCACCCCAAAUUUUUUAUUGUUUGUAGCAGCAUGGUCAGCUUUUCUCUUGAUCUGUGGGUGAGGCUCAGGCACUAUCCCAUUUAUACCAAUGACUAGUGUAUAACUACUUAAGGAAAACAGGUGAAAGUUCCUCCUCUUUCCUUUUAUUUUCUUCUGUUUUCACUUGAAUCCCCCAUCUUCCAUCCUCUUUUAUAGUUGAGAAUGCCUCAACCAUAUGAAAUUAGUUACCAAAAUUAACACAAUUUAGACUAUCUUCCUGAUUGCUUAACCCCUCUAGCAAGGUAUGUUCAUGAAUAGUACUUUAUAAUAGGGGGAAUAGAAACCAUGAACUUUUUACCUUUUUAGCCUAUUUAUUCAGUAUCUCCAUAAUAAAAUUAGGGCCUUAAACCAUCUUAAGAUCAUGUCCCAUUUCCGAGUCGUCAGGGCUCACUCUCCAACUUUAUUAAAUUGCAUUUGAGCACAGGAUACAUUCUUAAACAUUUUGAAAAACAUUAACCCAAGAUGUAGGGGCUAAGGCUAGUUAUCACUCUACAAUCUGAUAUUUUACUCAGUAUUUCAAAUGAAUGAUUAAUGCCCUAGGACAUAGCUUUAGCAAAUGUCCAGGUGCCACACCAGAAAGAGUGCAAUAAUUUACUGACAGUUUCCUAGACUAGGCAUAUUAUUGGAGUACAACUUUAUGAAGACUGCACAUUUUAUACAGCAUCACUUAAAAAAUAUUCAUUUAUGAAAUCAGUUACCUAUAGUAGAAGUCUUGAAUAGUGAACGGGACUCUAAUACAAAUACUCUUAAUAUUUGACUAUUUUAGAACCCUUAAAGGGCAUAAUUACUGGAGAUUUAGGUACCUCACUAAAGCAUGUACAUAAUAUUGCCAGCAAGAAAAAUAAGUUUGGGAACUUAUUUAGGGAACUUACUUCCCUAAACUGUCUUAGAAUAGUUAAGAAGAAUUUAAACUUUGUUCUAAGCAGGAAACCAGAUAGAUUCUUUUGCAGAUAUAGAUUUCAUAACAUUAAAAUUUCAUGAUUAACAAUUAGUGUCUUUUAGAUUUAUUCAGUUAAUACAUACUAACAUCCCAGUAUUUUCUAUAUCAGGGAUUAAUUACAGGAAAACUCAGUGAAAUGGUACAGAUCUGAAGCUUUGAUGGUGGAAACUGAAGUUUUUAACAGAGAACUGUGUUUUACUGAGUGCCAAAAAAGCUUUGAGCUUCCUUGCACAAAGUUUAUACAAUUUUUGCAUUUUUCACAUCAGUCCAGAUAGUUCCCCUUCCCCUAGGACCUCUCCACCAUUAAAACACAAGCCACAUAACUUUUAUCAUUUACGUUUAUUUUUAAGUUAUUACAACCAAAUUAAUUCCGUUUGAAGAAAUGUAGACAAAUUCUAUAAAGAAUAUACAUUAAAUGAACUAGCUAAGUGCAAAGUACAUUUCAAACAAAUCCAAGCAGAGUUUAUGUAAACAACCUUAAAAAUAAGGGAAAAGGGAUAGGUAGUACUCAGAAGGCAAGGAACCAGAAAUUGAAUUAAAUGCUACAUGGGGUGACUAGGAUAUGUUUCAAGUCAGUGAUAAUAUAGCUACUUCCAGGUACUUGAGUAUCAGAGAUCAAUUCCAGUUGGUCAGUUUCUAUGGCUGACCAUCCUUGUCAUUGAAUGUGGUAUAACUGAGCAUUGGCUCAACAAUUUCAUUUGGUCACUUGAGCAAUAUUUCCUUCAAUGACUAUUUUGGAGAAAAGAAGAAAAUCAGGUUUAAAGAAAAUAAAACUAAUUUAAACACAUUCUAGCAAGAAAUAAUCAGCUAUUUGAAAAUCAUGCUUUAACUUUUUAUCAUUUUCAGCUAUAUAAAAUCAUUUAUUUUGAAGAUUUUUAGAAUGCUGUUAAUUUAAAAUCUGUUACUCAUGUUGUGGAAUUUGGUUUUUUAAAAAGAUGUUUCUAAUUGGGUUUUUUAAAGAAGAAUGGAAUUUGGUCACUAUUUUACGAUAGAACCUAAGCUUUUUGUGGUUCUUAGUGUCCUCUGUAAAACUUAGUGUCAAAGUAAUCAACUUUGAGGUUUUUCCCUUCCAAUCUGCUUUAUAUUACAAGCCCUUUAGGAAAUGGGAACCUGGUGAAUAUACAAUGAAUUGUAAAAUAUUUUAAUGUGUAACUUUUUCAACUGUGAAACUAUGACUAUUGGUUUUUUGAAGAAAACAGCUGCUGAUAAAGUAUUUUGUGUAAAGUGUAGUUCUUAUUAAUCAGGAAAAUAAUCAAUUACUUGAUUAGAAUGUAUAUACCCUCUUGGAUUUUAUUUUAAAUGGAUUGGUGAUUUUCAAAUAGGUAAAACACAGUCCAUCUGUAUUUUUUUUCCAUCAAAAAUCUAGUGAUUUGGCAUUUAUUAAAAAAAUUAUGAGCAGUCUAUUUUAAAGGCACCAUGGAAAUUUCACAGUACAUAAACUUGGGUUUCUUAAUGAUUUGUAAAUCCAUUUAAUUCAUAUCAUGACCAGUAGCUCAUGCUUGCCAACUUUUGAAGAAAUUUAAUUUCCAGCAUUAUUUUAAAAUCAGCAAGUUAACUUUUUCUGAAUGUUAUAAGUUCCUUUUGUUUCUAUAUCUGCACAAACUGCAGACCUGGGCUGGACCCACACAUUCAAAAUCCACCUUAAAAGUUGAUUUUGAUGUCCAAGACAUCACUAAAAUACUUCAGUUUAAAGACCAUAUGUGGUGUUAUGGAUUGUGGUGCUUCUACCAUUUAAAAACAACUUUCAUACUUCAGAUGUUUUUGAGAAGAGGGGAAUGUGGAGGGAGGAGUUGCUUGAAUGAAUUACAUCCUUCAUAUCCAUCCUGCUCAGAUCGGGCACUAAGAGAUGGCUGCAAGUUGUGAGAGUAUAUUGUGUGUACCAUGAGGGAAUUAACUCUUCAUGAAGGAUGGGAUUGUGAAGGCUGAACUAUAUAAUUUAGCACUGAUAGAAUCCUCAGACAAUAUCAAUAAUUCUUGGUGACAGAAUAAUACAGCUGGGCUGUUUUUUAAAAUAUAAAGACAAACCAUUUUUAUUUUUAAUUAUUACAUUAAAAAUUAUAAAUGUAUCUUAUGUGCCAUGGCCUGGGAAGCCUUUUUUCUUUUCUCUUCAAAGUUAUUUUCACUUUCUGAAAAGAAUAUAGUGUUUAGCUCAAGAUAACUCUGGUCCUGAUAAAAUUGGAUGGGUAACUCUACCUCAGAAGGUUAAUAAGGAAAAAAAAUAGAUGAGUCAAUAAUUCAGUACUUCCGGCUCUGAUACGACAGAAAUUUGCAGGGCACUGUAUUUUAGAUUUAUAAAGUCAGAGUUGGCAUGCCUUGUUUUUAAUGGCAUUGGAGACAUUAAGAAAAAAUUUGUGUUAAAAUUUAAUCUUUGCUCCAACCAUUAGGAAAAGGCAGUAGUGCCAGGAGGUUCAUGGUACUGGCUUCUUGAAUUCGGCAUUUGAAAUUAGUUUUGUUUUCUUUAUUAUUAGUGAAAUUGGUGUGUGUAUAUUUGCAGACAUUUCUAUUUGUAUACGCAGUGCUUGCUAGCCCUAGUCAAGAGGUAUUCUUUAUAAAAGGUGUAAACAUCAAGGUUCUAAAAUUCAGAAGAGUUUAAAAUUGAUUAGGAGUUUCCCAAGUUGGGAUGUUAGUUUUUAAACAAGCUUAUUUCCUUCAAGUACUCCACUUGAGUAAGGUUUUGCACUUUUUAUCAAUGCAGCGCCAUUCCUUUUGCUUGGUUUUAGAUAUGUUCAUAUUUCAGCCAUGCUAGUUAGCAUAAAGUGAUAGAUACGAGCCAUAAGAAAAUCUUACGACUUAAUUUUUACACAACUACAUUUAAGAGUUUUAGCAGGGAAGAAAAAAGUAAAAUCAGUCCACUGUACAUAUUAGUGUAGUUUGGUAGCUGAUUUUCACACCAACAGUAGACUCCAGUCCUCAUGUUGGUAAGUAUGGGGAGUGUAAUGCAUUUUGUAAGCAUUAAAUUAAGUUUAUGAAUCUAUCUAAAACAUUAUUUAAUCUCUCACUACAAUAAUUUUGUGGUUAUGCUAAGAGCCAUGUAUACUUUUAGGUGAUCCUUUUGUUAAUCCUUCUAGGAUAGCAAGGAGGCAGAAAACCUUCACUGUUUUAUUAUUUUCUCAGAAUAUCUUUAAUAAGACUAAACUCCUUAAUUCUAGUAUAAAUUUCCAAAUGUGGUCACUAUCCACUGAUUUCAUAAGAAAAAUCCUCUUAUCAGAUUUAUGUGUCUAAGAGUACUGGACAGCUUGGCCUUCAUCUGAUUUGUAGAAAUGUUUUUGGCUAUGGAACCAAAGUUUCUAAUGCAGUUAAUGGUUUCAAUGUGACUCAGUCCUCAGACUUUAUUGGAUUGAAUAAAAUCUAAAGGAAUGUAUGCUUUUAGAACAUAACAUCUUGGGAGUGCGGCACUACCAAAAUUAGAAUACUGAUACAUCAACUGUUGACUUUGGAAGCUUCAAAAAGGAGUUCCCAUCACCCUCUUUAGCCCGAUUUAUCGUAGCAAAUCUAUUUCACUAUAUUUUGUCAUUCAAUGAGUUGGAGUCCUGUGGUAUACUGCAUUAGUUAGGAGGAAAAUGUUUUUAAAUGUUCUUUUAAUGAUGGCCCAAAAAGUAUUUGACACAGCAAGUGCAUGUGUUAUUGUACUGAGAAUAUAGAAUAAUACAGUGUCACUAAAUUUAAGACCUCUCCCCAGUCUUGCUGUUCCUGGCAAGAAGUUUGGCCUGUGACUGCACUUACUGUUUAUGCUCAUCAGAAACUGUCAAUGUCUGCUUUACUUUAACUUUGCAGUCUGUAACGUCACGCUGUUUAUUAAAAAAAAUAUUACUUUG
RNAcentral lists this long non-coding RNA (5496 nucleotides) under Phocoena sinus (vaquita). RNAcentral's name for it is "lncRNA (ENSPSNG00000000267.1)". The record is from RNAcentral. Lineage: Eukaryota; Metazoa; Chordata; Mammalia; Artiodactyla; Phocoenidae.